RNAcentral lists this ribosomal RNA (305 nucleotides) under uncultured bacterium. Its description in RNAcentral is "partial 16S ribosomal RNA". It matches the Rfam family "Bacterial small subunit ribosomal RNA", at positions 506 to 807 of the family's 1533-position model. The record is from RNAcentral.
ACAGCAGUAGCCGCGGGAAUACGUAGGGUGCGAGCGUUAAUCGGAAUUACUGGGCGUAAAGCGUGCGCAGGCGGUUCGUUAAGACAGAUGUGAAAUCCCCGGGCUUAACCUGGGAACUGCAUUUGUGACUGGCGAGCUAGAGUAUGGCAGAGGGGGGUAGAAUUCCACGUGUAGCAGUGAAAUGCGUAGAGAUGUGGAGGAAUACCGAUGGCGAAGGCAGCCCCCUGGGCCAAUACUGACGCUCAUGCACGAAAGCGUGGGGAGCAAACAGGAUUAGAUACCCCAGUAGUCCCUGUCUCUUAUAC